AGUCAGUGAUGAUUUUAAGUAUAAGAGUAGUGGACAGAAGUGAUUUCUGAGUAUGUUUGCACUGAGACU
This is a small nucleolar RNA of Monopterus albus (swamp eel), 69 nucleotides long. NCBI's taxonomy places the organism in Eukaryota, Metazoa, Chordata, Actinopteri, Synbranchiformes, Synbranchidae. The record is from Ensembl.